UCCCCGUUCUCCUGGGCAGUCUCUCCAGAGUUCUCGGCUUGACCCGUUAGUAACUGAAGACAGGGGUUGCGCUCGUUGCGGGACUUAACCCAACACCUCACGACACGAGCUGACGACAGCCAUGCACCACCUGUCACCGACCCCCGAAGGGACCCCCCAUCUCUGAAGGUUUUCCGGCGAUGUCAAACCCAGGUAAGGUUCUUCGCGUCGCAUCGAAUUAAUCCGCAUGCUCCGCCGCUUGUGCGGACCCCCGUCAAUUCCUUUGAGUUUUAGCCUUGCGGCCGUACUCCCCAGGCGGGGCGCUUAAUGCGUUAGCUACGGCGCAGGAAACCGGAGAGGCCCCCCACACCUAGCGCCCAACGUUUACAGCGUGGACUAC
RNAcentral lists this unclassified non-coding RNA (379 nucleotides) under uncultured Actinomycetes bacterium. RNAcentral's name for it is "uncultured actinobacterium contains 16S-23S intergenic spacer region". Lineage: Bacteria; Bacillati; Actinomycetota; Actinomycetes. The record is from RNAcentral.